UCGACUAAGUUUGAGUUGACUAAAUCUCAGGUUAGUCGACUAAGCUGUGAAAAAUUUGAGAAACGGGGUUUGUCCUGAUGUUUUAAAAGCUUGAAUUUUUAAAUAAUUUUCAUGGGAUAACUCAGUAGCUUCAUGACAUAAAUAAAGAAUGGAAAAUCCUUGUAGCAACACCUCAAUAGGUCCUUAAUUUGUGGAUUUUUUAUGGUUUGACAUCUAGCCAACUUCUUCUUUAAACUAUUCUUUUACCAAACCAUAAGCCGCUAGUUGCUCUCAGUGAUGUUCUGGUUCUUUAACAAAAAUAGAGAGGAU
RNAcentral lists this long non-coding RNA (309 nucleotides) under Elaeis guineensis (African oil palm). RNAcentral's name for it is "long non-coding RNA (EGUI_LNC052519)". Lineage: Eukaryota; Viridiplantae; Streptophyta; Magnoliopsida; Arecales; Arecaceae. The record is from RNAcentral.